AUCCCAAGCAUCUUCGGCGGCCGCCGCAGCAACGUCUUCGACCCCUUCUCCCUCGACAUCUUCGACCCCUUCCACGACUUCCCCAACGUCCUCUCCACCGCUGCCGGCGGCGGACAGAACGAAGCCACGGCGAUCGCCAACAUGCGGAUCGACUGGAAGGAGACGCCGGAGGCGCACGUGUUCAAGGCGGACAUGCCGGGGCUGAAGAAGGAGGAGGUGAAGGUGGAAGUGGAGGAGGGAAGGGUGCUGCAGAUUAGUGGAGAGAGGAGCAGAGAGCAGGAGGAGAAGAACGAUAAGUAUCAUCGGGUGGAGAGGAGCUCGGGGAAGUUUUUGAGGAGGUUUAGGCUUCCGGAGAAUGUGAAGAUGGAGGAGGUGAAGGCUUGUAUGGAGAAUGGGGUGCUUACGGUGACGGUGCCGAAAGUGGAGGAGAAGAAGCUGGAAGUCAAGGCGAUUGACAUUUCCGGCUAGAACCGGUUUUUUGUUUUAUCAAGUGUCUGUAAUUUGUGUGCUUGGUUUUCUGUUGUGGUUGUUUUGUGUUGUCUCUGGAGUCCUGUGUAAUAUGUGUGACAUGUUGUCAUGAAAUAAAUAGUGUUUUCAAGUAGCGUUGGGUAAUUUGUACUAUUGACAAGUUUCCGAUGAUCGAAUCUACUUUGUUAACGAUAACUACAGUCAGAUCUGAUAAAACUGAAGAAUCAAGUAAUUAUUCAUCUCAUUUCAUAAGCUGGUGACACAGUCAUGUCUCUAUGACAGAGGAAUAUUCUUUACCUUAUGCUUCCUCCGUUCCAGUGAAUUGUAUACAGUUUUCUAGUUUUUUUUGGACUGUCUUGUAUAAAUUUUUAUAAUAUAAAAUAUCAUUACACUAACUACUAUCAUCCACUAUCUCUAUUUUAUAAUAAUAUAAACACUAUUACACCCACUACUUUCCUCCACUAUCUCAAAUCUAUUAUUAAAUAUUAAUGGGUCCCAUCACUCUACUNUUGAAUUAUAUUAGCUAUAAUACAGAGCCUAUAUAGUAGAGCCCGUGUCUUGCACGGGCUUUUACGCUAGUUAUGAUUUAUAAUUUAACAUGAUUAAGAAUUCGUUUAACUAAUUGUGAUCUUUCCGGAAUAUUGUUCAAUUUUGGGGCAUAACCGGGUCCAAUGGUUUGUUCUAUCUUGCACGCUUUUUUGACAUAACAUUCGAAUAGGAGGAUUCGAAAGUUACGUGUACUGUGUGCAUAAUACCUCAACAUAAAAUAACCAGAUCUUUAUAAAUUAAACAACAAAGAUUUGUUUGUUAGGUGAAUCUCUCAAGAGCGUGCAGCCACGAUAUAAGAGAAGAGUGGCACGACAAAGGCGGCCAAUGUUGUUAUUAUAUUCUUCACCAGACUCGAUCAAACAAACAUUCUUCGCAUUACUACUAUGCACUCCACAAAAACUCUACCCCAAGCUCAUUUACACUCUACAUUCAACCCUCCUAUACUACUCAUAUGAGGACCUUGUGCCCCAACUUAAACAGAGAAGAUGGUCUUCAAACAGUUCUGGAAGUUCCUAUUCCAGAAGAAACCUUCACUAUGUUUCCAGACAACAAAAAUAGUACUAUUUCGACGACCACUGCAUGGCACAACAUUAAGUCAUGGAUGAAGCCGCAAGCAGAGAGAUCAUCACCGCGUUCCUCUGGUGCCAGUCGGAACAGUACUAAUAUUCAGCUCUUGCUCGGAGUUGUGGGAGCUCCUCUCAUCCCUCUUCCUGUCCAUUCGGAUCAUACUGUCAGCAGCCGCAAUAUCAAAGAUCACCCUAUUGUAAGCCUGCAUAGUACUACAAAUUUUGUUUUCUAUGUUAUUAUUGUCGCACGUUCUAAUAGGCCUUGAUGUAUAAAUUUUGACAUGCAGGAAGCUGCAAUGUCUAAGUACAUAGUGCAGCAGUAUAUAGCAGCCACAGGAGGACAAAAGGCCAUCAACUCAAUCGAUAGCAUGUGUGUUAUAGGGAAGGUGAAGAUGGAAACAUCAGAUUUUAUCAGUGGUGAUACUUUAGGAUUGAGUCGAGAUGAUAAUAAUAAGAUGACGAGGGGAAAAAAUGGAGGAGAGAUGGGAGGAUUCGUGCUGUGGCAGCAGAAGAGAGCUGAGCUGUGGUGCUUGGAGCUGGUGGUUUCAGGUUACAAAAUUAGUGCUGGUAGUGAUGGUAAGGUGUCCUGGAGACAAACUCCAUGGAACCAUUCCCAUGCCUCUCGUGGCCCCCCUAGGCCCCUUCGUCGUUCCUUUCAGGUAAAAGCUACAUCUUUGUGAUUACGACUCGAUUCAUGAUUCUAUGCUGCGGUGUACUUGUAUUUACUAAAAUGCAACUAGCAAUAAACUGUCAGUUUAAUAUAAAAUAUCCAGCAUUGUAAACAUACAUACCAAGGCCUCAUCAUUACUAGUGCUAAACAGGGACUUGAUCCAAGAUCAACUGCGAACUUGUUCUCUGACUCGAUUUGUGUUGGGGAGAAGACCAUCAACAAUGAAGAUUGCUUUGUGUUAAAGGUCCAAGCAGAGCCCACAACACUAAGAGCAAGAAGUAGCAACAAUGUAGAGAUAAUCCAGCAUACUGUUUGGGGAUAUUUCAGCCAGAGAACAGGACUCCUUAUAAAGUUAGAUGACUCUCACCUCCUUAAAAUCAAGGCCAAAGUCCAAGAAAGUGGCAAUGUACUUUGGGAGACUACCAUGGAGUCAUUAGUCCAAGAUUACAGAACCAUUGAUGGAGUUAAUAUCGCGCACUCGGGACAGACAUCUGUGUCUUUGUUUAGGUUCGGGGAAAGCUCAGAAAGCCAUUCAAAGACACGAAUGGAGGAGGUUUGGAGGAUCGAAGAAGUGGACUUUAAUAUCAAGGGCUUAUCAAUGGACUGUUUCUUGGCUCCUGGUGACUUGAAGGAGGAAUAGAUGUGCAGUGCUGAGAAUCCUAGCAUCAUGGUCACAGAGAACUCUACAUUACCAUUUAGGCAUUUAUUCACAAGCAAGGUCUGCAAAGGGUUGCAGGACCAGAAAAAGUAGUAAAGCAUGUUUCAUUAUUCUUUUAGUAGACAAUACAAUUAACAUGUUAAGUACUUGUAGGAACUUAGAUUAACAGGAAAUUGAUAUAUUGAUAUCGAUCUAUUUGUCUAGUAAAUUCUUGGAGGAGAGUGUCAAUUACUUGUGUAUAACCUACGUCCCAGUUUCUUAUUUUUAAAUAGUGCCGAAAUAAAAGAACAAACAGGGGAUAUUAGUGAAGGUUGCUGUAAUCCUGAGACAAGUUUACCAGAAAUGAAUUUUUUUUUUUUUUUUUGAAUUCAGAAAUGAAAACUCUUAACUCUUUUUAGCGAUUUAAUUUUAUUUUUUAAAUUUAGCUUUAUAAAAAUAAGAUAUUAUCUUAAGAUAUGUUUGUUAUUAUAUUAAUAAUUUAUAUAUGUGAUACUUCGUAACUAUCAAACAACAUUUAAAUACAUAAAAUAAAAUUUAUAUUUUUAUGAAUAAUUUUAUUUAUAGAUAUUAAACAAUAUUUUUAAACGAAAACAAACAACCCAAUAUUUAUCGAUAUCUCACAGCUUUCGUUGAUAAAAUUGGUACGGAUGUAGUUUUAAAAUGAAAAGAAUAAAUUAUUUGGCCCAAAUGUUCUAGAGAAAACUAGAUAAUGCGAGAAGAUCUGAAGAAGUAGUGUCUGAUAGUUUCGGGAGAGUUUCAGAAGCAUGAAGCUAAGCCUCAACAGUCCACGUGUCCACCUUACGUGGACUCUCAAGUGUUCCCGAACAAUCUUCUUCUUUAAUCUCGCUCUAUAAAUUCCCCCACGUCCAUCUCUCUAUCCACAAAGCAAAAACAAAAUCACACAUCAGUCAUCGUCUCAAACUCUCAAUCAAAAUCUCUUAAGAAAUGGCUCUGAUCCCAAGCAUCUUCGGCGGCCGCCGCAGCAACGUCUUCGACCCCUUCUCCCUCGACAUCUUCGACCCCUUCCACGACUUCCCCAACGUCCUCUCCACCGCUGCCGGCGGCGGACAGAACGAAGCCACGGCGAUCGCCAACAUGCGGAUCGACUGGAAGGAGACGCCGGAGGCGCACGUGUUCAAGGCGGACAUGCCGGGGCUGAAGAAGGAGGAGGUGAAGGUGGAAGUGGAGGAGGGAAGGGUGCUGCAGAUUAGUGGAG
Molecule: long non-coding RNA, 4127 nt
Filed under: Daucus carota (carrot)
Lineage: Eukaryota; Viridiplantae; Streptophyta; Magnoliopsida; Apiales; Apiaceae
Description: long non-coding RNA (DCAR_LNC005029)
Source: RNAcentral